Molecule: ribosomal RNA, 400 nt
Filed under: uncultured bacterium
Lineage: Bacteria
Description: bacterial SSU rRNA
Rfam family: Bacterial small subunit ribosomal RNA
Source: RNAcentral
UGCCAGCAGCCGCGGUAAUACGAAGGGGGCUAGCGUUGUUCGGAUUUACUGGGCGUAAAGCGCACGUAGGCGGAUCUUUAAGUCAGGGGUGAAAUGCCRRRGCUCAACYUYGGAACUGCCUYUGAUACUGGAGAUCUUGAGUUCGGGAGAGGUGAGUGGAACUGCGAGUGUAGAGGUGAAAUUCGUAGAUAUUCGCAAGAACACCAGUGGCGAAGGCGGCUCACUGGCCCGAUACUGACGCUGAGGUGCGAAAGCGUGGGGAGCAAACAGGAUUAGAUAUCCCUGGUAGUCCACGCCGUAAACGAUGGAUGCUAGCCGUUAGGCAGCUUGCUGCUUAGUGGCGCAGCUAACGCUUUAAGCAUCCCGCCUGGGGAGUACGGUCGCAAGAUAAAACUCAAAG